This is a long non-coding RNA of Cydia amplana, 496 nucleotides long. RefSeq lists it as uncharacterized. The transcript has 2 exons. Lineage: Eukaryota; Metazoa; Arthropoda; Insecta; Lepidoptera; Tortricidae. The record is from RefSeq and is a predicted model, not a curated record.
GUAGAAUACAAAAUUAACCAUAAAACUACCGGUCGGACAAACAGGAAAAAUAAAAAUUGUGUGAUCGGAUUAAGAGGAUUUUUCAAGCUCUCGUGGCUCGAUCGAUCGAACUAGACGAACUUUUAAAAUCCCAUUACUCCGAUAGUAGGGCUGACAGGAUUUGAGAAGUUUUUAUAGUCCGAUCAAUCGAGCCAACAGGAAAAAAAAAUAUUCGUAUUCCGAUUGAUCGGACUAGUCAAUCGGACCAUGCGACCUAAGGGCAUUUUCCCUGUCUUCAAAAAUGAUAUUGAGGUUUCUAAUAUAAUUUUUUUCUAAACUGAAUAGUUUGCGCGAGAGACACUUCCAAAGUGGUAAAAUGUGUCCCCCCCGUAACUACUAAAAUAAAAGAAUGAUAAAACUAAAAAAAAAAUAUAUGAUGUACAUUACCAUGCAAACUUCCACCGAAAAUUGGUUUGAACGAGAUCUAGUAAGUAGUUUUUUUUAAUACGUCAUAAAU